GUAAACGGCGGCCGUAACUAUAACGGUCCUAAGGUAGCGAAAUUCCUUGUCGGGUAAGUUCCGACCUGCACGAAUGGCAUAAUGAUGGCGGCGCUGUCUCCAGCAGAGGCUCAGUGAAAUCGAAAUCGCUGUGAAGAUGCAGUGUACCCGCGGCUAGACGGAAAGACCCCGUGAACCUUUACUGCAGCUUGACACUGAACUUUGACCUUACUUGUGUAGGAUAGGUGGGAGGCUUUGAAGCUGGAACGCUAGUUCCAGUGGAGCCGUCCUUGAAAUACCACCCUGGUAAUGUUGAGGUUCUAACUCUGUCCCGUGAUCCGGGACGAGGACCGUGUCUGGUGGGUAGUUUGACUGGGGCGGUCUCCUCCUAAAGAGUAACGGAGGAGUACGAAGGUGCGCUCAGCGUGGUCGGAAAUCACGCGUAGAGUAUAAAGGCAAAAGCGCGCUUAACUGCGAGACCCACAAGUCGAGCAGGUACGAAAGUAGGUCUUAGUGAUCCGGUGGUUCUGUAUGGAAGGGCCAUCGCUCAACGGAUAAAAGGUACUCUGGGGAUAACAGGCUGAUACCGCCCAAGAGUUCAUAUCGACGGCGGUGUUUGGCACCUCGAUGUCGGCUCAUCUCAUCCUGGGGCUGAAGCAGGUCCCAAGGGUAUGGCUGUUCGCCAUUUAAAGAGGUACGCGAGCUGGGUUUAGAACGUCGUGAGACAGUUCGGUCCCUAUCUACCGUGGGCGCUGGAAAUUUGAGAGGAUCUGCUCCUAGUACGAGAGGACCAGAGUGGACGAACCUCUGGUGUACCGGUUGUGACGCCAGUCGCAUCGCCGGGUAGCUAUGUUCGGAAGGGAUAACCGCUGAAAGCAUCUAAGCGGGAAGCCUACCUCAAGAUAAGAUUUCCCUAGGACUUUAUGUCCUCUAAAGAGCCGUUCGAGACUAGGACGUUGAUAGGUUGGAUGUGGAAGCAUAGUGAUAUGUGAAGCUGACCAAUACUAAUUGCUCGUGAGGCUUGACUAU
RNAcentral lists this ribosomal RNA (1008 nucleotides) under Acinetobacter baumannii. Its description in RNAcentral is "partial 23S ribosomal RNA". It matches the Rfam family "Bacterial large subunit ribosomal RNA", at positions 1923 to 2925 of the family's 2925-position model. The record is from RNAcentral. Lineage: Bacteria; Pseudomonadati; Pseudomonadota; Gammaproteobacteria; Moraxellales; Moraxellaceae.